AUACCAGCUCUCCGAGUGGUGUGGAUGUUUAUUGGGCCUAAAGCAUCCGUAGCUUGCUGUUCAAGUCCCCUGUUAAAUCCAAUGAAUUAAUUGUUGGUGUGCGGGGGAUACUGUUCGGCUAGGGGACGGGAGAGGCAGACGGUAUUUUCGGGGUAGGGGUGAAAUCCUAUAAUCCCGGGAAGACCACCAGUGGCGAAGGCUGUCUGCUAGAACGCGCCCGACGGUGAGGGAUGAAAGCUGGGGGAGCGAACCGGAUUAGAUACCCGGGUAGUCCCAGCUGUAAACUAUGCAGGCUAGGUGUUUGGGCGGCCACGUGCCGCUCUAGUGCCGCAGGGAAGCUGUUAAGCCUGCCGCCUGGGGAGUACGGUCGCAAGAUUGAA
RNAcentral lists this ribosomal RNA (380 nucleotides) under uncultured archaeon. RNAcentral describes it as "bacterial SSU rRNA". It matches the Rfam family "Archaeal small subunit ribosomal RNA", at positions 473 to 853 of the family's 1478-position model. The record is from RNAcentral.